CUGUCCUAUGAUAUACAGUGUGUAUCACUCAGUGCUGCCCUAUGAUAUACAGGUGUAUCACUCAGUGCUGUCCUAUGUGAUACAGUGUGUGUAUCACUCAGUGCUGUCCUAUGCAUAUGCAGUGUCCUAUGAUAUACUCAGUGUGUAUCGCUCAGUGCUGUCUAUGAUAUACGGUGUAUCACUCAGUGCUAUCCUAUGAUAUACAGUGUAUCACUCAGUGCUGUCCUAUGAUAUACAGUGUGUAUCACUCAGUGCUGUUCUAUUAUAUACAGUGUGUAUCACUCAGUGCUGUCCUAUGAUAUACAGUGUAUCACUCAGUGCUGUCCUAUGAUAUACAGUGUGUAUCACUCAGUGCUGUCCUAUGAUAUACAGUGUGUAUCACUCAGUGCUCUCCUAUGAUAUACAGUGUGUGUAUCAGCCCUAUGAUAUAUGUAUCACUCAGUGCUGUCCUAUGAUAUACAGUGUGUAUCACUCAGUGCUGUCCUAUGAUAUACAGUGUGUGUCACUCAGUGCUGUCCUAUGAUAUACAGUGUAUCACUCAGUGCUGUCCUAUGAUAUACAGUGUGUAUCACUCAGUGCUGUCCUAUGAUAUACAGUGUAUCACUCAGUGCUGUCCUAUGAUAUACAGUGUGUAUCACUCAGUGCUGUCCUAUGAUAUACAGUGUGUAUCACUCAGUGCUGUCCUAUGAUAUACAGUGUGUAUCACUCAGUGCUGUCCUAUGAUAUACAGUGUGUAUCACUCAGUGCUGUCCUAUGAUAUACAGUGUGUAUCACUCAGUGCUGUCCUAUGAUAUACAGUGUGUGUCACUCAGUGCUGUCCUAUGAUAUACAGUGUGUAUCACUCAGUGCUGUCCUAUGAUAUACAGUGUGUAUCACUCAGUGCUGUCCUAUGAUAUACAGCGUGUGUCACUCAGUGCUGUCCUAUGAUAUACAGUGUGUAUCACUCAGUGUUGUCCUAUGAUAUACAGUGUGUAUCACUCAGUGCUGUCCUAUGAUAUACAGCGUGUGUAUCACUCAGUGCUGUCCUAUGAUAUACAGCGUGUGUAUCACUCAGUGCUGUCCUAUGAUAUACAGCGUGUGUAUCACUCAGUGCUGUCCUAUGAUAUACAGUGUGUAUCACUCAGUGCUGUCCUAUGGUAUACAGUGUAUCACUCAGUACUGUCCCAUGAUAUACAGCGUGUAUCAGUCAGUGCUGUCCCUGCUUAUCAUGCAAUUUAUUUCAUGUGUGAGAGGCUAUUACUGGGCAGAUGGGGAGUGAUCACAUCCUCUUCCUGUCCAUCCUCACACACAGACACUGAGUUUUACAGCUUCUAUAAUGGGUUCUGCAGAUUAGCUAUUAAAUCUGCCCGGACUACAGUGGACACUGGCCAAGGCUCCUGGUACUUAUCUCUCAAACAGACCAAUUAAAC
This is a non-coding RNA of Pelobates cultripes (western spadefoot toad), 1409 nucleotides long. Lineage: Eukaryota; Metazoa; Chordata; Amphibia; Anura; Pelobatidae. The record is from the annotation of a GenBank genome assembly.